AGUUAAAAAGCUCGUAGUUGGAUGUUGUGGUUUGUUAAAUUCGAUGCCUUUUGGUAUUCGUUUUAGCAGCCACUUUUUCUCGAGGCAUAUAGGUGCACUUAACCGUGUGUUUAUAUUGUUCGGGACUUUUACCGUGAGAAAAUUAGAGUGUUCAUAGCAGGCUAGUGCUUGAAUAUUACAGCAUGGAAUAAUGGAAUAGGAUCAUGAUCUUAUUUUGUUGGUUUCUAAGAUCAAGAUAAUGAUUAAUAGGGAUAGUUGGGGGCAUUAAUAUUUAGUUGUCAGAGGUGAAAUUCUUAGAUUUACAAAAGAUUAACUUCUGCGAAAGCAUUUGCCAAGGAUGUUUUCGUUAAUCAAGAACGAAAGUUGAGGGAUCGAAGAUGAUCAGAUACCGUCGUAGUCUCAACCAUAAACUAUGCCGACUAGGGAUUGGUGGUCGUUAAUUAAUGUCACCAUCAGCACCUUAUGAGAAAUCAAAGUUUUUGGGUUCUGGGGGGAGUAUGGUCGCAAGGCUGAAACUUAAAGGAAUUGACGGAAGGGCACCACCAGGAGUGGAGCCUGCGGCUUAAUUUGACUCAACACGGGGAAACUCACCAGGUCCGGACAUAGUAAGGAUUGACAGAUUGAGAGCUCUUUCUUGAUUCUAUGGGUGGUGGUGCAUGGCCGUCCU
RNAcentral lists this ribosomal RNA (667 nucleotides) under uncultured marine eukaryote. Its description in RNAcentral is "SSU rRNA". It matches the Rfam family "Eukaryotic small subunit ribosomal RNA", at positions 617 to 1294 of the family's 1831-position model. The record is from RNAcentral.